UGAAUAAGCAAUGUACAGUAGGAAUGUAUUAAGCCUAAUAUGUCUUCCUUUUUUAAGAUAACAUCGGAGAGGAUCAGAAGGUGGACACCACUGGAAAAACAGGAAUUUAAAGGACAGGCUUGCUGCAUGGUUUUUGUAGUCUGGCUGAAUGCUUAAGUUUUCCUGGGUUGUCAUCCUUGUAGUGUGGCGCUUUCGAAAGAGCUCCUGCC
RNAcentral lists this long non-coding RNA (209 nucleotides) under Lepisosteus oculatus (spotted gar). RNAcentral's name for it is "lncRNA (ENSLOCG00000021682.1)". Lineage: Eukaryota; Metazoa; Chordata; Actinopteri; Semionotiformes; Lepisosteidae. The record is from RNAcentral.